AGGGUUCGAUUCUGGCUCAGGACGAACGCUGGCGGCGUGCUUAACACAUGCAAGUCGAACGAGACGAUUGAAAGCUUGCUUUUGAGAGUCGAGUGGCAAACGGGUGAGUAACGCGUAGACAACCUGCCGUAAAGAUGGGGACAACAGUUCGAAAGGACUGCUAAUACCGAAUGUUGUAGAGUUUCCGCAUGGGGAUUCUACUAAAGGUGGCCUCUACUUGUAAGCUAUCGCUUUACGAUGGGUCUGCGUCUGAUUAGCUAGUUGGUGGGGUAACGGCCUACCAAGGCGACGAUCAGUAGCCGGUCUGAGAGGAUGAACGGCCACAUUGGAACUGAGACACGGUCCAG
This 347-nucleotide ribosomal RNA is filed under the name uncultured bacterium. RNAcentral describes it as "bacterial SSU rRNA". It matches the Rfam family "Bacterial small subunit ribosomal RNA", at positions 8 to 334 of the family's 1533-position model. The record is from RNAcentral.